Molecule: small nucleolar RNA, 79 nt
Filed under: Drosophila ananassae
Lineage: Eukaryota; Metazoa; Arthropoda; Insecta; Diptera; Drosophilidae
Description: snoRNA:GF26166
Source: RNAcentral
UAUUUAAGUUAGUUUUUUUGAGGAAUUUACUUUUGGCCAUGCUUAGUUGUUGGCUUGAAAAUUUCCCAUUUCUGAUUAA